Molecule: long non-coding RNA, 2200 nt
Organism: Lingula anatina
Lineage: Eukaryota; Metazoa; Brachiopoda; Lingulata; Lingulida; Lingulidae
Source: RefSeq, a predicted model, not a curated record
GUGAGAGGUGUUCAGCAAGGACCGAGGUCAGUAGAAGAUGGAGAAGAAAGCAGCCUUGUGUUACAUUGUUACAAUUUCUACUAGUUGGUCGAAAAUCUGGCACUGAAAUUGGCAUCGAACUGUAACUGGAAUACAUUUGCCAGAAAACGGGUGGUCAGAGAUUUGCUCCAGCUGUGAACGCGUCUUCCGUCUUAAACAAUGUAAGACAUUUUGGCAGUGACUCAACCGUGCACACGGAGAUUGAAUACGUUCUCCAUCAAUGACGUCAGACUCGUGUUCCACAGCGGCUGCAUCCAUGUCAAGAUUACAUGUCGCAUGUCAGAGUUCGUCUGCUAGUAAAUUUGCAAAGUUGACAUUUUUAAAUGUAUGAAAAUAUGAAGUGUCAUGUUUGCUUUGGACUGUGGUGUUCUCCAUUGGAAAGCGUAUCAAAUGAAAAAGUAUGAUGUAAGGAGUAUUUUUUUCGAGAAACGUCUAAUUUAAUUUAAAAAGGACUUGGGCGCGUUCACAGCCAGUUGAUCCGCAGACUAACUAGUUGAAAGCCCCACUUGAAAGCAAGCUUAGAUUUAAUUGCUCGUCCCUGCUGGGACGGUGCACAUGGGAGGCGGGGAAUCCAUUGUCAGGUGCAAUGAUCUUAAAUAGUCAGCAGUUCAACUGGUUGUGAACGGCGUCUAUUUCUAUACUAAGCGUCAGCCCUGUAUGUCGCUGGUUUGCUAUUGUACAUAUGUACGUGUAUCUAUGUUACCAUGUUGUUGUACAGUACUCUUCCCGCUCGUGGUGUUUUAAUGGUAAUUUGUUGAUGUAGUUGGUUAAGGGGCGGGUACAGGUCUCGAAGAUGAGAAAAUACUUUUUUUUUAAGUUCUCGUUUAAUACGAAUAUUGCCAAUGCAAAAAGUGUCUUGCUUUAUUGGUGUACUAAAUCGGUUUUGGUUAUUGUCAAAUUAUCACCAAGUAGUGUUCAGGAAGAGUACUUUGCUACACGUACAUGUAGUAUUGGUUUAUUUCCGUGUAGGUGUGGAAACAUAAACAACAAGCACAUGUAGGACGACCGGUUUUCUUAUUGAUGGUAACAUAUUUGUGAGGGCAAAUCUGCAAUUCGGCAUUUCAACCGUGAACAAUUAUAUAUUUAAAAUUGAAUCCUAAUACUUAUUUUGAUGUCUACUUUUGGAAAGAAAGAAAACGUCCCAACCGUGUAAAAUGCAUUUAUGGAAGUCUUUGGAGGUUAUAAUGUGUGUUUAGUUGAAGAAAAAACGAGAUAUAUAGCUACAAAAAAUCAAUAAAUUGCUGUAAUUUAAAUAAUUACGUUUCAGAAAUUGCAGCAUUAUCAAGCUGGCAGAAUGUGUCAUUAGUAUUGCAGAACUGUCCACACGUAUUGAAAUGAUCUUAAGUUUAAAGUGUGCAGUUGUGACGCAUAUGAAGUAAACUUCGUGUUUCAAUGAGGGGAAGGGUCAAAAGUCACCCUGGUUUUAGAAACGAAACCAAGGAGUUGAAAUUUUCCCGAAAUUAAAAUAAAUUUGUUAUUGUAGUAGUGGUAGGUUAUAAAGGAAAAUUGUUGAAUCAUAGAAAAUGUUUUAUUUCUGAAUAUUAUCUUCAUUAAAGGAUCUACAGGUAUGUAGGACUGACAUUCAUUAGAAACUUUUACAUUCUGAAUUUUUGACAAAUUCUUGACAAAGUAAAAUCAAUCAUUUUAGCUGUCACAAAGCCAAUUUUUUAGAAUAAUGGCUACUCGAUGAUGUUUUUAGGAAUGGCAAUUUCUGUCAAUACUCCCAAAAUAGAAUGUGAUACAAUUUAAACGAAAUUUAUAGGAAAAUUUUGACAACUAAAUGAGCAUUUUUUUGUAAAUUAACUUCACUUGCAGAUAUUUAGCCAAUUCUUCGAAAAUCCAUCGAAUUAUCAUACAAAAUUACUUCUUCAUAGUAUUUUGCUUCUUUAAAAAAUAUGAAUAAUAGUCAUUCUCUCAGUAUAAAAAACUUUAUCCAAAAAUGUAUAGAUCAGCGCUUUGUUAAAGGUUGGUCUUGUACCUAGUAUUUUCUUCGUUUACUCUUGUUCGCAAUCAAAGGGUAAUUGAAGAAUAACCUAUUAUUGGAUGUCAGUCCUGCUUGUUUAAUUAUAGUGCUGAGUGUCACUUGAUCACUGAAUACCGGAGACCAGUCUUAAGAUUAUUAGAAAUGUCUUAGUAAAUGUAUAUGUCAAGUAAACUAAUA